CAACAGGGAUUGCCUUAGUAACUGCGAGUGAAGCGGCAAAAGCUCAAAUUUGAAAACCGGCAACCCCAGCCGGCAGUGUAAUUUGAAGGGACAUCUCGGAGCUGGCGCCGUCUUAAGUUCUUUGGAACCGGACAUCAUAGAGGGUGAGAAUCCCGUGCCUGGGUGGCUGUCCCGCUCCGUGUGAAUGUCCCGACGAGUCGAGUUGUUUGGGAAUGCAGCUCAAAAUGGGUGGUAAAUUUCAUCUAAAGCUAAAUAUUGGCGAGAGACCGAUAGCGCACAAGUAGAGUGAUCGAAAGAUGAAAAGCACUUUGAAAAGAGAGUUAAAUAGUACGUGAAAUUGUUGAAAGGGAAGCGCUUGAGACUAGAUUCAGUCGGCGGUGAUCAGCUAUGCUUCUGCGUGGUGCACUUGCCGUCGAUUGAGCCAGCAUCGGUUUUGAUGGCGGGAUAAAGGUUUGAGGAAUGUGGCUCCCCGAUUCUGGGGAGUGUUAUAGCCUUGAGCGUAAUGCCGCCUGUCGGGACCGAGGACCGCGCUUCGGCUAGGAUGCUGGCGAAAAGGUCU
Molecule: ribosomal RNA, 559 nt
Filed under: Otidea concinna
Lineage: Eukaryota; Fungi; Ascomycota; Pezizomycetes; Pezizales; Pyronemataceae
Description: LSU rRNA
Rfam family: Eukaryotic large subunit ribosomal RNA
Source: RNAcentral